Molecule: ribosomal RNA, 497 nt
Filed under: uncultured bacterium
Lineage: Bacteria
Description: partial 16S ribosomal RNA
Rfam family: Bacterial small subunit ribosomal RNA
Source: RNAcentral
GAUGAACGCUGGCGGCGUGCCUAAUACAUGCAAGUCGAGCGAACAGACGAGGAGCUUGCUCCUCUGACGUUAGCGGCGGACGGGUGAGUAACACGUGGAUAACCUACCUAUAAGACUGGGAUAACUUCGGGAAACCGGAGCUAAUACCGGAUAAUAUAUUGAACCGCAUGGUUCAAUAGUGAAAGACGGUUUUGCUGUCACUUAUAGAUGGAUCCGCGCCGCAUUAGCUAGUUGGUAAGGUAACGGCUUACCAAGGCAACGAUGCGUAGCCGACCUGAGAGGGUGAUCGGCCACACUGGAACUGAGACACGGUCCAGACUCCUACGGGAGGCAGCACUAGGGAAUCUUCCGCAAAGGGCGAAAGCCUGACGGAGCAACGCCGCGUGAGUGAUGAAGGUCUUCGGAUCGUAAAACUCUGUUAUUAGGGAAGAACAAAUGUGUAAGUAACUAUGCACGUCUUGACGGUACCUAAUCAGAAAGCCACGGCUAACUACGUG